GAGGAAUAAGCAUCGGCUAACUCCGUGCCAGCAGCCGCGGUAAUACGGGGGAUGCAAGCGUUAUCCGGAAUCAUUGGGCGUAAAGCGCCUGUAGGUUGUUUAAUAAGUCUGUUGUUAAAGACUAGGGCUUAACCCUAGGAAAGCAAUGGAAACUACUAGACUUGAGUAUGAUAGGGGUAGAGGGAAUUUCUAGUGUAGCGGUGAAAUGCGUAGAUAUUAGGAAGAACACCGGUGGCGAAGGCGCUCUACUGGAUCAUUACUGACACUCAGAGGCGAAAGCUAGGGUAGCAAAAGGGAUUAGAUACCCCUGUAGUCCUAGCCGUAAACGAUGGAUACUAGAUGUUGUGUUUAUUAUGCAGUAUCGCAGCUAACGCGUUAAGUAUCCCGCCUGGGGAGUACGCUCGCAAGGGUGAAACUCAAAGGAAUUGACGGGGGCCCGCACAAGCGGUGGAGCAUGUGGUUUAAUUCGAUGCAACACGGAAGAACCUUACCAAGGCUUGACAUACUACAAGUUUUUCUGAGAAGAAAAAGUGCCUUCGGGAAUGUAGAUACAGGUGGUGCAUGGCUGUCGUCAGCUCGUGUCGUGAGAUGUUGGGUUAAGUCCCGCAACGAGCGCAACCCUUGUUUUUAGUUGCCAAUUUAUUGGGUUUUCUAGAAAGACUGCCGGUGACAAACCGGAGGAAGGUGAGGAUGACGUCAAGUCAGCAUGCCCCUUAUGCCUUGGGCUACACACGUGCUACAAUGGCUAGGACAAAGAGUUGCGAGCUCGCAAGAGUCAGCUAAUCUCAUAAACUUAGUCUAAGUUCGGAUUGUAGGCUGCAACUCGCCUACGUGA
Molecule: ribosomal RNA, 835 nt
Filed under: uncultured Phalacroma
Lineage: Eukaryota; Dinophyceae; Dinophysales; Dinophysaceae
Description: bacterial SSU rRNA
Rfam family: Bacterial small subunit ribosomal RNA
Source: RNAcentral